GCCCGUUUAGCUCAGUGGUAGAGCAACCGCCUUGUAAGCGGUAGGUCGUCUGUUCAAAUCAGUCAACGGGCA
This is a non-coding RNA of Burkholderiales bacterium YL45, 72 nucleotides long. Lineage: Bacteria; Pseudomonadati; Pseudomonadota; Betaproteobacteria; Burkholderiales. The record is from Rfam.